GCUCCGGUGGUGGAAUUGGUAGACACAAGAGACUUAAAAUCUCUCGAUCCGUAGGAUCGUGCCGGUUCAAUUCCGGCCCGGAGCACCA
This 88-nucleotide transfer RNA is filed under the name Marinobacter sp. Its description in RNAcentral is "tRNA-Leu". It matches the Rfam family "tRNA". Rfam says of the family: Transfer RNA (tRNA) molecules are approximately 80 nucleotides in length. Their secondary structure includes four short double-helical elements and three loops (D, anti-codon, and T loops). The record is from RNAcentral. Lineage: Bacteria; Pseudomonadati; Pseudomonadota; Gammaproteobacteria; Pseudomonadales; Marinobacteraceae.